CAAGAUCGAACUGAAGAGUUUGAUCCUGGCUCAGAUUGAACGCUGGCGGCAUGCCUUACACAUGCAA
RNAcentral lists this ribosomal RNA (67 nucleotides) under Burkholderiaceae bacterium. RNAcentral's name for it is "partial 16S ribosomal RNA". Lineage: Bacteria; Pseudomonadati; Pseudomonadota; Betaproteobacteria; Burkholderiales; Burkholderiaceae. The record is from RNAcentral.